Trichobilharzia regenti is the source of this 46-nucleotide non-coding RNA. NCBI's taxonomy places the organism in Eukaryota, Metazoa, Platyhelminthes, Trematoda, Strigeidida, Schistosomatidae. The record is from Rfam.
GUACUGAUGAAGAGUCCCAAACUAGGACGAAAUAGCUGUCCAGUAC